This 274-nucleotide ribosomal RNA is filed under the name uncultured bacterium. Its description in RNAcentral is "partial 16S ribosomal RNA". It matches the Rfam family "Bacterial small subunit ribosomal RNA", at positions 523 to 796 of the family's 1533-position model. The record is from RNAcentral.
AUACGGAUGGUGCGAGCGUUGUUCGGAAUUACUGGGCGUAAAGGGCGCGUAGGCGGCGAUGUAAGUCAAAUGUGAAAGUCCUCGGCUUAACCGGGGAAGUGCAUCUGAAACUGCAUUGCUUGAGUAUGGGAGAGGAAAGUGGAAUUCCCGGUGUAGAGGUGAAAUUCGUAGAGAUCGGGAGGAAUACCGGUGGCGAAGGCGACUCUCUGGACCAAUACUGACGCUGAGGCGCGAAAGCGUGGGGAGCAAACAGGAUUAGAAACCCCAGUAGUCC